RNAcentral lists this ribosomal RNA (94 nucleotides) under Staphylococcus aureus. RNAcentral's name for it is "partial 23S ribosomal RNA". It matches the Rfam family "Bacterial large subunit ribosomal RNA", at positions 1 to 93 of the family's 2925-position model. RNAcentral also lists the same sequence under 2 other names. The record is from RNAcentral. Lineage: Bacteria; Bacillati; Bacillota; Bacilli; Caryophanales; Staphylococcaceae.
AGAUUAAGUUAUUAAGGGCGCACGGUGGAUGCCUUGGCACUAGAAGCCGAUGAAGGACGUUACUAACGACGAUAUGCUUUGGGGAGCUGUAAGU